GACCUCACUCCAUCCCUCAUCCCUGUCAGCCAGUCAUCUGGUGCUGUUCUGAGCCAGCCAGCACAAGCCAAGUGGCACUGAAACCUGCUCUGCUGGCUCCCAAGAGUUAACUGUGCACGUGUCUUCCUAACUCGGCAUUCAGUGACAUCAAACUGCUGCAGUCGUGGAGGCCGCGUGUGGAGACAGCAGAACCACAAGACCGAGUCACCUGGUUGCUGAGUCAGCACAUGAGGACAGCUGUCUUCAGAGAGUAGCCUGAUCGUCUGUGCAUGAGAGGGAAAUAAACAUUUGUUCUGUUUAGCCACUGAGCUUCAAGACAGUUUUGUUACUGCAAAAUAACCUAGCCCAGCGGUUCCCAAACAUUUGGGUCUCAGCAUUCCUUUAAACUCUUAAAAGUUAUUGAUGAUCCCAAAGAGCUUUUGUUUAUGUGGAUUAUAUCUACCAAUAUUUCCAUGUCAGAGAUUAAAAGUGAGAAAUUUUUAAAAUGUGUGUAUAUUAAUUCAUUUUAAAAUAACAAUUAUUAAACCAUUACAUGUUAACAUAAAUAACGUAUUUUUAUGAAAAACAGCUAGUUUCCAAAACAAACUAGUGAGAAUGACAGUUUUACAUUUUUGCAAAUCUCUGGAUUAAUUGAAGACAGCUGGAUUCUCAUCUCUGCUCCUGCAGUUAAUCAGUUUCAAUCUGUUUUGUUGCUGUUUUUGAGGUAUUUGAAGAAAAUCUGGCCUCACACAGAUAAUGUAGUUAAUAAUCUAGGGGUGUAUUUUAAUAGCUUUUGUUGAUGAUGGUGCAUAAUCUUUUUGUAUACUACAUCAAAACUUGACAAGUGGUAGUUUCUUAUAAGUUAAUUACGAUAUGGAAUCUGAAACCAUAUCAAUGGACUUUUCGUACUCUGUUACAUUAAAAUCCAUUAGGCUGUCUUGCACUUUGAGCGGAUCCUUUACCCAUGCAUGAAUUUGUAACCUCAUGCAUUGAUUAUUGGAAAAGAUCGAUUCACUGAGUUAUACAGAUCUUCCAAAUGUUGGCAUAUUUC
Molecule: long non-coding RNA, 1030 nt
Filed under: Equus caballus (horse)
Lineage: Eukaryota; Metazoa; Chordata; Mammalia; Perissodactyla; Equidae
Description: lncRNA (ENSECAG00000057590.1)
Source: RNAcentral